Molecule: ribosomal RNA, 1188 nt
Filed under: Candidatus Phytoplasma cynodontis
Lineage: Bacteria; Bacillati; Mycoplasmatota; Mollicutes; Acholeplasmatales; Acholeplasmataceae
Description: bacterial SSU rRNA
Rfam family: Bacterial small subunit ribosomal RNA
Source: RNAcentral
GAAUUGAACCAUCUUUUAAUUUUUAAAAGACCUUUUUCGAAAGGUAUACUUAAAGAGGGGCUUGCGGCACAUUAGUUAGUUGGUAGGGUAAAAGCCUACCAAGACCAUGAUGUGUAGCUGGACUGAGAGGUUGAACAGCCACAUUGGGACUGAGACACGGCCCAAACUCCUACGGGAGGCAGCAGUAGGGAAUUUUCGGCAAUGGAGGAAACUCUGACCGAGCAACGCCGCGUGAACGAUGAAGUAUUUCGGUAUGUAAAGUUCUUUUAUUGGAGAAGAAAAAAUAGUGGAAAAACUAUCUUGACGAUAUUCAAUGAAUAAGCCCCGGCAAACUAUGUGCCAGCAGCCGCGGUAAUACAUAGGGGGCGAGCGUUAUCCGGAAUUAUUGGGCGUAAAGGGUGCGUAGGCGGUUUGGUAAGUCUAUAGUUUAAUUUCAGUGCUUAACACUGUUCUGCUAUAGAAACUAUCAGACUAGAGUGAGAUAGAGGCAAGUGGAAUUCCCAUGUGUAGCGGUAAAAUGCGUAAAUAUAUGGAGGAACACCAGAAGCGUAGGCGGCUUGCUGGGUCUUAUCUGACGCUGAGGCACGAAAGCGUGGGGAGCAACCAGGAUUAGAUACCCUGGUAGUCCACGCCGUAAACGAUGAGUACUAAGUGUCCGGGGAAACUCGGUACUGAAGUUAACACAUUUAAGUACCCCGCCUGAGUAGUACGUACCCCAAGUAUGAAACUUAAAGGAAUUGACGGGACCCCCCACAAGCGGGGGACCAUGUUGUUUAAUUCGAAGAUACACGAAAAACCUUACCAGGUCUUGACAUACUCUGCAAAGCUAUAGCAAUAUAGCGGAGGUUAUCAGGGAUACAGGUGGUGCAUGGUUGUCGUCAGCUCGUGUCGUGAGAUGUUAGGUUAAGUCCUAAAACGAGCGCAACCCUUGUCACUAGUUGCCAGCAUGUUAUGAUGGGCACUUUAGUGAGACUGCCAAUGAAAAAUUGGAGGAAGGUGAGGAUCACGUCAAAUCAUCAUGCCCCUUAUGAUCUGGGCUACAAACGUGAUACAAUGGCUGUUACAAAGAGUAGCUAAAACGCGAGUUUAUAGCCAAUCUCAUAAAAGCAGUCUCAGUUCGGAUUGAAGUCUGCAACUCGACUUCAUGAAGUUGGAAUCGCUAGUAAUCGCGAAUCAGCAUGUCGCGGU